This 19302-nucleotide long non-coding RNA is filed under the name Lactuca sativa (garden lettuce). Its description in RNAcentral is "long non-coding RNA (LSAT_LNC000111)". The record is from RNAcentral. Lineage: Eukaryota; Viridiplantae; Streptophyta; Magnoliopsida; Asterales; Asteraceae.
UCCAAUCAAGUUGCUUUGGUGAAGGCAACCCAAAAGGACCAUGCACCAUCGGGUCAAGUACAUACCAAAAUAGUUAUGGACUUAGACACUAAUCCAACAGUCUCCCACUUGGAUAAGUCUAAUAACUAUUCUGCGUAUGACUUCGGAUCCCGAUCUGCAAUCGUAGCUUUCCAAAGCCGCUGUCAACUCUGAUCAUAUCAAAUACGCGUGUCCUUAGAUAAGGGAUCAUAUAUUCCUCCAUUCUAGAUAUCAUAUGAGAUAUGAUUUCAAAUCAUUCUCUUUGUACUAUAUCUCGAUUUCCGAUUUAUGACGACUGACUAAUUGAACAAAUCAAAUUAGCCCUAGCCCGGCCGAGCAUUUACGUUUGUCAUCACUAAACCAUCGAGGGGCCCAAAGAUAUCGCUUUUAUCCUACUUUGAAUAAAAGGAACGGAUAAACUUUGAUACAAUGCUUGCUUGUACUCACGCACCGAAUCACACACAACAAUAUGUUUUAUAACACCAAGUUACUGGUGCGUUUACAUAUUAUCAAUGUGCAACCGAUUUGCAAGAUACAACUCACACAUCUCGGUUUCAAGAAUAUAAGAUGUUAUCGUCUCACCAAUCACUCGUGAUACAAUUCAUGGAGUGAUCCAAGUGAGCGUGGGUUUAAUCCAAUGCUCAAAUCAUAUUCAUAAGCACUCAUGAACGUUGCAGCAAACAUUUGCUUAUGUCUAAUACUCUUUUAGACAAUCCACACACCAAUUCACGACAGUCUUCAUUCAUAUCUACUUCCAACAUAUGAACGACUGUGGCCCGUUUGAAUAAUUCGAUUAUUCUUAAUAAACUCAAUUAUUCUGGAAGUCAAAACAUGCAAAUGUGAAACACAAGAAUAAUACUAAUCCCAUAUGGCCUCAAACCUUUGAGUAUAAAUAAAACACCUUUUAUUUAUCACCAUAUUGAUUACUCAUUAUUUGUCGUUUCGGGUAAUCAACUUCUUACUUGAAUUACAACACUUGUCCCAUGCUCCUAGCAUGCACACAAUGUUUACCUAUGGUUCUUACUUUGUGAAAUAGAUCACAUUGAACACAUUUCCAAUCAUUCUCAUUUCACAACUCCAAAUCCUUUUUCAUAAGUGUAAGAAUAUCAAAUUCUUGCUACUUAUAGAAUAUGCUAGAUUCUAACAUUCUAUGCAACUAUCCUUUCGUAAUGUCACUGCACCAAAGUCACAAAGACUAUUGCCAAUGAUAUUACAAAGUCCUCUAUCGGAGAUUGUUACAAGACAAUUCCAUAGAUGUGAUGUCUCUCACUCAAAGUACAUUCUUUGAACAUCCUUUUGCAUAGAAGUUUCUAAUCUAGUCAUAGAUUUCUCAAUAUUCAAUUCCCAAUAUGGACACACUUCCAUAUGUUCCAUAUGACAACUCAUUCUUAAUAGAAUCUUAUCUAUUCGUAAUGAUGUCGAUAUGGUCCAUCCAAUAUGGAAACAUUUCCAUAUUUUCCAAUACUAUACUUCCAACUACUCACAAGCGACCAAUCCUCGUCGAACUUUGGAUUGUCCUUUGAUAGUUGUUUAAUUAUUUUAGUCAAAACCAAUUCUAGUCCCUUUUCCCUCUAAAUGCGCUCGACAUUUGGAAAAUUUUAGAAUGGUCAAACAUUAAAGCAUUUGCAAUCGAUCCUAUACCCGAAGCGUAUGGGACACGACGCAUAAUGUUUUAUUUGCUAUGUUCUCAAAAUUCGAAUUGUGAAGAGGGAUGCCGUAAUCAUAAUCGAAAUUUUAAGAACACACUUUGUACCUUUGACUAAAUUUUAUUAACAUUUCUCAACCUAAACCUUUAGAUUUGAAAUGAAGCAUAAUAUUCUCUCCCUUAAUUAUAGCAAAACAACUCUUCAACUAUUGCGACUUUGCAAAGUAUGACUCUUGUUUUCUAUAAUUAAUAUUGCUAACCUUGCAAUACUUUCCUUAAUAAUCAUACAAUCAUAACUUUUAUGCUCCCACUAUCUUGAUGAUUAUUAUAAAACAUAACACUUAUGCUCCCACUAGCUUCGACAUGUAUUCAUAAACAUCUUAACUUUCAGAAAAAAAAUGCUUAUUGAAUUUCUUAAGUUCAUGUUUCUAAUACUUAGUGCUUUGAUAAUCUUUUAUCAAGGCUUCUUGAACUUAUACACCUUUGCCUUCGAUAGUUCAUAUGUGUGUCUAAACAAUUAAGACUAAUUGCCAAACCUCACAAUUCAAAUUAUGGAAAGGGAUGCCGUAACCAUAAUUGAAUUCGAGAAUGCAAUUUUACAAUCACUAUCUUCUUAAAAUCUUUCUUAGUGAAAGCAUUUCCUCACAAUCAUUUUCAUGAAGGAGGAAAUCUUAUGACACUUAGAUUUAAACGGUGUAUUUGUUCCUAUCCAUGUGAAUUUGUCAAAACCAAAGUUUACGACAAAUUCAAACUCUUAUGGAUCGAACUUUCUUGAUCUCGAUUUCUUGCCUUUAUGGUAGCACAGCUGCCCACCAUGUCUUCCAAGUAGUUAAGCAGCUCACCCUUUCCUAUCAAUGUACCUUUCAUUGAUUAAGGUGCUUUGCCUUUUAUGCGUUCAAAAUGAGAACUCAUAGAACUCACAUGCAUAAUUAACUCGAUUGGAUUGGCACAGAAUCAAAAUAAUGUCAACACGAUAGGUUGUAAACCUCAACUCGUGUGCUAGUGAUGAUCGAUAAGGUUUAUUUGAUUUGUUCUUGAAACCUUUCAAGACCAUUAAGACUCCCACUGACUCCUUGACAUAUAAGAUUCUCUUGUCAAAAAACAUUUCUUGACAAACAAAUAUUCAAGAGUUAGUGUAGCUUUUAUCAAAACACUUCAUAAAUUGGUCCUAGUUGGUCUUUGUCUUAUCCAAGACAUCACAACUUUCCACAUUUAAUGAAUGUUAUAAACCUUCUUAAUACUUUUCACUCAAUGUCACAAUCUUAACUUUAAGACUUGUUAUUGGAACGAAGUAUGAUUGACUUAUUGAUUUAACCAUUUCUUCAAUUCUUGAUUCCUCUUCUUAGACAUACAAUUGUACUAAGACUCACUUAGAGGAUCAAUUGAGAUAUGGUUCUUAAUCAUUAAGACCUAUCAUAAAGCAUAAAAGGUACUCUCCCUUCUUCUUAGAAUGGAGAAACUUUUAUCUUUCUGCCUACUUGAUUCUUCUUAUUCGUUCUGCUAUUGAUUUAAACCUUUUCAAUCAAUUCAGAAUUACACUUAAUCUUAUAAGUAUAAUCAUAUUUACUAAACCUUUAGUAAAUCAUGACGAAUAUCUUUGUUACUCUUAUGGUGGACUUGAUCAACACGCAACUUUGUGUACUCGAUCUCCUAGUCCUUCACUUGACACUUUGUCAAUGAAUUAGUCUAAUUUCCAAAUAUGAAAUUUCUCAUUCAUCGUGCAACCAAGUUGCAUGAUUCCAAGUUUCUGUCCAAUUGAAACUUGGGCGAUGAGAAACUCUCCCUAUUUGGUAAAUUCUCGACUUUCCAUAAAUAACAUAAUAAGAACCAAAUCCAUUAUUGCUAAUAAUAGAAACAUUUUAACAUCAAUUUUUCAUACACGCCAUUGUAAGGAUAAAUAAAUAAAAUUUAAAAUCAAAAUUUAUUUUAUUGCGGAAAAAUUUGUCCUUACAAUGCAAUUCAUUGAAAAACUAUGCUAAUACAUCUUUCUUAGCAAUCUAAUUCUAACUCUAAGUAGUAGCUCAAGAAUCUAAUCUUCGAGAAAUGCGAUCGAAAUCCAUUCCUUCACGGUUAGAUUCUGCUCACUUCUUCCCUUAAGCUUCCUUUCUUUUCUUCGAUCCUACAAAACAUCAAUUGUAAUCUUAUCACAUUAUGUAUUAAGAAUCUAGAAUAGAAGCUUAAAAGAGUUAGUUAAUGGAUUUUACCUAUAUUAGAGCCAUACGUUUCGACUCUCCCAUCUCUUAGAUCUCUUAGGUAAAUGGGGCAGCUUCGUCUCCAAUGCCCUUUCUCUUGGCAAUAAAAGCAAAUUGACUCUUUUGGAACAUGACAUGGAACUACUUCAGACAUUGCCUUUCUCUUAUGAUCAAACUUUUCGAUCAUAGCAUGUCUUUCGUUGCCAUUGUCUAUAUCCAUAGAGGUCUUGAAGGCAGAUUCACCAAUCAACUUUGCUUUUCUAUUGCGCCAAACCAUUGCUGAUUCAGCAGCAAUAAGCAUAUAGGUGAGAUCUAUAAGGGUCACGUCGUGGUUCAUCAUAUAGUACUCUCUUACGAACUCACUAUAUGAGUUAGGAAGUGACUGAAGAACCCAAUCAACAGCCAUUUCCUCACAGACAACGGAUCCCAACAUUCUUAACCUAUCAAUGUGUGACUUCAUCCCUAGGACGUGUGCACACACCGACUUUCCUUCUUUAUGUUUACUUGCCAAAAGGGCUUGAGUGAUCUUGAACUUUUCAAGCCUUUGAACUUGUGGGUUAGGGAGAAUAAUUGGAGGAGGUGGAGGAAGUGAAGCAUGAUUUCUUGUUCCUCGAUCGAAUCGUGGAAUAUCAUCUUCAUGUGGAAUGCUUGUUCCACGGGAUUUGGGAAGACCAUAGUUGUCGAACUUUGACAUCUACAAAACGGGAGAAAACGAAUUCAAGUUAGUUGAUUGAUUGAGUCCUUAGUAAAUCACCCAAAUGAGAUACUAAGGCUAGGACCCAACACAAUAUUCUACAACUCGGGAGAGGGAUGCCGUAACCCAAAUUGCAGAACAUUUGAAGGUAAGUGAAUGACGAUUCACUAAUUUCCACCAUGAAAAACGAAAAAGAAAUUUAAGUUUUAAAUCUAUGAAAACUCCUAGAUCCUUUGAGAUUCAUUGAACAUUUCAAUGGCAUGUUUAAAUCUCGAUAUGCCCCUCUUGUUUGUGACUGGGAUGCCGAGGAUCACAAAGCGGGUGUGAAUAACCAUGCAAACUUACAUGGUGCCCUCACAUGUUACAGUCACCUAUUCGAUGUGCCGGUAAACCACACACGCUCCACCGAACUAUGACAAACAUUGAGUCACCCUUUGCUACCUUUGCUUAGAACCAUUUAGUGUGCCGGUAAACCACACACGCUCCACUAACGUCUUCGCAAGGGCACAAAGUGUAAUUUCAUGGAAUUGCAUCAAUUCACUUUUGCCUAAGUAACUAAGAUUGGGAAUUUUAUGAAAACAUUUAGUUACUUUUAUACUUCAUUAUACUUAUAAUGGAAGGUUUUGUCCUAUCCUACCCGUUCGGCUAACGACCCUCCACUAGUCAAGAGUGCGGUGGGUAAGAGUGGAUACCCAUUCAAUCGCCAUUUUAUAGGCAAUUUCCUUAAACACCCCUUAUAGACCAGCUUCGUGAAUGAGGCCUACUAACGGUAAGACUGACUUUUACUCAUACAUAUAUAUAAUGUUAGACUUUUAAUGUUAUAUAUAGUAUAGGGUGUAUUUUACACUUUUAAAAUACUAGGUGGUCAAAUUUAACAAUUAUACUUUUAAUUCAAUUAAAUUGUAAACCUAAACUUUUAUGGAUUUAUUAAACCUCUUUUAAUUAUACACCUUAAUUAAUUAAUAAAACCAUAAGGGUGUGAUUUGAACUUUUUCAAAACUAUACUAGAGUUUUAGAAUUUAACAUUCCUAAUUAAACUUUUAAUCAACUUUUAAAUUCCAAAACUUGAGGGCAAGUUUUGAAACAUUUCAACACAUUAGGGUUUAGAAUUUAAAUAUACAUCAAAAUUAAACUAUUUAAUCAAAAUUUAAAUUCCAAAACUUGAGGGCAAGUUUUGAAACCUUUUUCAAAACAUUAGGGUUUCAACUAUUUAAAUUUCAAAACAACAAAACUUUUGGGUUCAAAUUUAAACUAUAAAACCUAAAGGGGAAAAUAUGAAACUUUUCAUAACAACAAGGAUCAAAUAACAAAUAAUUCAAAUUAACAUUUAAUCACAUAAUUAUCCAUAUUUGAUUUAUUUAAUGAUUUCUUGCAAAACAAUUUAUCAAUUUACUCAAAAUAAUUAAUCAAUUAUCUUAUAAGGAAACAAUUAUCUUAUUAAUUGAUAAAUAUCUUCAAUUAGAUCAAAAAUAUAGUCAAAUAUAUCAUAUAAUCGGAUUAAUAUUGAUCUAACAUGAUAAGGUAAUUAUCCCAAUGCAAAAACAGCAAGAAAUCCCGAGAUAAGCACUAUCUGACGCACCGACUCGCCGAGUCACCCUCUGGAACUCGCCGAGUAGGGCUGACUCGCCGAGUCCAAGAGUGACUCGCCGAGUCAGGUCGAACAGUGAGGCCAAAACACGAUUUUCAGUUACAUCAAGCAUCAAUACAAUAGAAACCAAUCAUGGCUCUGAUACCACUGAUGGGUUUUGGUCAUAAGACAUCCUAUGUGCUCAUACAAACCCUAAAGCUUGGAUCUAGGUUUCUCUAUUGUACAUGCUUUGAAUCCAAGACUAUAAACCCUAAUUCUAGCAUAUGGAAAUCAAUAUUAACAUAUAAUUAGGUUUAUGAUAUUACCUUGAUUGUUAUGUAGCAAUAACAAUCCCAAUUCCUCCUUGAAUUGACUUUGGAAUGCUUAGAGUCACAAGUGUCACUCCUCUAAUGGCUUACAAACACCAUAAGCAAGUGGAGAAGGUAUAAAGAGAGAGGAGGGAGGUUAGAAUUCGUCCUUAGGACUUCUUGGGAAGGGUUGGACGAAUUCCUAUGCCUUAGGGGGUUUAUAUAGGUGUAAAGAUUAGGGUUUUAGUCCUUAUCCUUAUCUAGUUGCUUGUCCACCAAGCAACCAUAAGAUAAGUCCUAGAAAUCCUUAUCCUAGUCGAAUUCUAAGAGAUUUACACCUCAAAUUCGUUCACCAUAUAUAUAAGAUAAUCCUUACCUUAUUUUGUAACUAUCACAUAAUUACAAUUCAGCCCCUCUAGUUUAAUUAAUUACACUUGAUCACAAAAUUAAUUCUUAAUUAAUCAUUGACCAAUAUUAAUUAAACAAAUAUGAUUUCUCCUUUAAUAUAUUAUUCUUAUAACAUAUUAAUAAAUCAUAAUAACCUCUCUCUCUAUUUAUUUCUCCAAUCAAGUUGCUUUGGUGAAGGCAACCCAAAAGGACCAUGCACCAUCGGGUCAAGUACAUACCAAAAUAGUUAUGGACUUAGACACUAAUCCAACAUGUACACCACUAGUGGUCAUAUGCUAUUGGUGCAUAAUAAACAGUUGACAGCGACCUGGGCACUACACUUGUCACUCUAGAAAACAACCAGUUGUGUUUUGUCUCAUUAUAGACAGGAGAUUGUCGGUAGGAUUUGGACGUGGCUGCGAGAGCGCCAAGCAUGAGGGUUCUCGCGCGAUGGUGAGGACCCGGGUCUAGCGCUAGGACGGAUUCACGACCAUUAAGUCAAUGUUAGACCCACUUUGUAUAGCCUGUUAAUAUCUCGUGUACUUCUAUUUAUCUGAUUUAAUAGGAAAUUAUUAUGAAGAAAAUAUAACUUUUAACAUAUACAAGCUUUACAAAAAAAAUGUAUAAGAGUCAAGAAAGCAAAUCUAGUAUAAUGUGGUUUAUAUUUGAUUUUUAUCAAGUGGUAUAAGGUCUAUCUUAGGUUUAUAUUAAAGAUUAAAUCACAUAAAAUUUGGCAUUCUUAAUAAAUAUAAUACGUGAUGUUGAUAGUACAAAUUAAUUGGAUCAAAUAUAUUAGAUUUUAAAAUAAGCUUCAAAUUCCUAAUGGAUUAUAUGAUAAUAUGAGAAUUUCAUCUAUUAAUUUUAAGAAACCAUAAAUCCACAAUCUAAAUUAUAUAAUUUGAACAAAAAAAUAGAAUAAAUCUUAAUAAGGCUGUAUUAAAAAGUAGAAACCAACAUUUACACUUGGGUUGGGCCGUUGGGGGGGCUUGAGCUAAAAGUUUAAACAUGAAAAUCCCAAUUGAAACGACUGAUAAGGAACUGAACCUAAAUCUAAAAGUAGACAAAAUUGGUAAAAUAUGAUUACUGUGAUUGGAGUUUUGUAAAUAAAAUUUUAAAACUAAAUACAUUUUCAUCAUUUAUCGAAGAUUUAUAAUAUAUGUUUUUAACUCUUUAAUAUAACAAGUUUACAAUUUGUAUUAUUUAAUACAAUAUAUUAAUUAUUUAAACUAAUAAAAUAAAUUUUAUUAAAAAGUAAUAAUAUGUGAUAAUUUUAUCAUAAAUAGUUGGAAAAGUAUAUGAUAUGUGUUGAUAAAAUAGGAGAAGUAUUUUAUAUUUUCUUUUAUGGCUAAUCUUGUGGAAAGUGUAGAAAAAAUAAUUUUAAAAAGGCUAAAACUAAAACAAAAAAAAAAAAAAAUGAAAACCAAAUAUAACCGAAUAAUUUUUGUUAGCUUUUGUUGUGGGUUGAUGUUUCUCAAUUUCUUAUACUGAUGCAAUGGUGAAUAUUUUUUAUUGGUGGAUUUUUUGUAAUUCUCUCCUCUUUGGUAAGAUGAAGCUGAAUAAAGCCAUUUUGAUUGAUGAGAUUGAUGAGAUUUAUUAUUACUACUUAUUGAUUUCUAGUAGACGUACUAAGUACUUUUGGAGUUGGAUUGAUUGAUUGAGAAAUCUAUAAGCGUUUGAUGUGGGUUUAAAGGGUGGAGCCCCAAAACAAAAAUAAAAUGAUAAAGGAAAAUGGGUCAGCCCAAAUUUUAUUGUCAAAUGACACAGAUCAUUGAGUCCAUCUAAAGGAUUCGUUUCCCAAGAUAAUUGUCGUCUUCUACGUAUAAAAGGUAGAUUGGAAGGUUGAAAGGUUGAAAUCGAUAUGAAUAGAUAACGACUUCUUUUCUCCUUGCUAUAUUUUCUCUACGAACACAAUGACACAAUUAAGAUAUUUUGUGUAUGAAUUAGUCAUGUAAUUUUUUUUGGAUUAUCUCAUAAUCUAUAUUCGUGUAUCCUGAGUAUAAUGGUUAAAUUAUAGAUUCCAUAAAGUGUUGUAAUCAUGAUCCAAGAAAUUAUCCAAGUUAUUAUUAUUCGAAAUCCUUAAUUUUAAAAAUUAGUUUCGUGAAUUGAUAGUUUAUUUUAUUUACUUAUUUUUCUAGUUUAUUUUAGCACAUUUCAUCUUUUAUUAGUUAAUGUUCAUGCAUAUAUGCUCUUUUUGUUAUUUUAUAUAUUUAUCGGGUGCUUUAUAGUUUUUAGACAAAACUUCAAAAAUGGUCCUUGUGGUUUUCGAAAAGAUCAAGUUUGGUCUCUAAUUUACAAAAACCUCACGGAUCGUCCAUGUGGUUUCAAAACUUUUAACAUUUGGUCAUUUCGGCUAACUCCGUUACCAUUUAGCCGUUAAGUCAUGAACAUUUUUGUCAUUUCACUACACAAGGACCAUUUAUGAGGUAUUCAAUUACUUUUUUUUUAAAUAAAUAAAUAUAUAAUAUUUAAUAUGCAAGUGGUCUCUCUCUCUCUCUCUCUCUCUCUGCCAAAAUAAUAAAGGACCAUAUUAACCCACCUCCACUUCCAUCAACAUUGCAUCCUUCCCCUUCCUUCUCGUCGUGAACCGCCGAAUGAUAAAAUAACCGGGCAGCAGAGCUGCCACCUACAAUUGGCAAAACCCACUUCACCACCGCCACCGCAGUGACUGUUGGAACACCCCUACUCUGACCAUCUACCAUCUGACAUCGUCCAUCGCUCUUCCCUCUCGUCAUCCCCGCUGAGCAGAAGCAAGAAGGAAGCAAGAAAGGCAACCGGAGCAACCUCCGACCAUUACUACAGCCGUCAUCUGCUGCUGCUACCAUGAUUCCAGCUGCCACCACCACCUUCUACUGCUUCAAUCGAUUUACAAUGCAAAAUUACCUUUUCUGGAAGGAUCUUGGGAGGAUUGGUAGAGGACUAAGAAGCACAAAAAUGUGAAGAGAGGGAUCAGGUGAAGGGAAUGAUAAUGGAUAAGCAGAGCACCUACGAUUCCUCAUGCCUGUAUCAAAGUCUCUUAUAAUUUUUCCUUCUUUUAAUUCCAACUACUUAAUUUCUUAUUCCCAUCUCUAUACAUGUUCAUCUAUUUGUUGAAUUGGAUGUCUCUGGACAGAAAAUUGGAAUUGUAUGCUUCCAAUGGUGAUAACUCUUACUAAAUAAAUCAAAAAAUGAAGGAGGAGAACAAUGCACUCCAGGUGCUCGAUGAAACACCUGAAAGAAAUGUUCCUUCACAAAACUGAAAGUGUAUAAUUUCACAUCUGGAGAAGAAGAUUGGCUCUCAAUUCGAACAUGCCAUACUCGAUGAGGUGUUUGGGUUACAACAACAGCAACACCACCCUUGGGGGUGGUGGUGUUUCUUGGUAGUGAAGGAAAAGGGGAAGGGCAGUAGAAAAACAUGAAUGGAAGGCAGUAAGUGGUGGUAUUUGAGGGUGGGUUUAAGUGAUCAAACGGGAUGGAAGAUGGGUGGCUGGGUUGUGGUUUCCGGUGGGGAAGGAGAUGAUGGCAGUGGUGGUUUUAUGGCGGAAGGUGGUGCUAUCGUGUGGAAUCGUAAGUNAGAGAGAGAGAGAGAGAGAGAGAGAAAGAGAGAGAGAGAGAGAGAGAGAGAGAGAAAAGGUGGGACCCCUUGCAUAUUAAAUAUUAUUUAUUUAUUUAUUUAUUUAAAAAAAAGUAAUUGGAUACCUCAUAAAUGGUCCCUUUGUAGUGAAAUGACAAAAAUGCCCCUGACUUAACGGCUAAAUGGUAACGGAGUUAGCCGAAAUGACCAAAUGUUAAAAGUUUUGAAACCACAGGGACGAUCCAUGAGGUUUUUGUAAAUUAGGGACCAAACUUGAUAUUUUCGAAAACGACAGGGACCAUUUUUGAAGUUUUGUCUAGUUUUUAAGUUUAUUUGCAGAUUUAUCAAAGACUAUUCAAUGCGGAGGAUUGCGGUAUGCUUGUGGAAUUGAAAAUGAUGCAUUUGAGCUUUCUUACAAAUAGAAGAUGGAAUAAAUAUAGGCUAAUGAUCUUAUGGAGGUGUGAUGAAUUGGAGCUUUAGAUGAUCAAAGAAAACUUGGGCUAGUUUGGAUUGCUUAGAAGACAAAAAAUGGGCUCAUGAUGACUUAACUAAUGGGCUGGACCAAAAUACAAGAAGCAAGUGGAGGAAGAAAGUCAUAAAACGAACUGAAUAUCACUUCAUGGGCACUCACGCGGUCCACGUGAAAGAACAAAACAGUCUGUGUGAGUUGUGCAGGGGAAGAUCCAGAUUUUUGUCUUGUUUGCUGUUUGUUUGUCUUUAAUCAUGAGUUUAGAUUAAUGAAUAUUUGAUUUGUUGGCUAACUUAUUCAUUGAGUAAUGGACCUUCAAAUUAAUAAGAAUCAAAUGGUUUAUGUGUUUGUUUUCAUUUCACCUAAGCCAUGGAAAUAUUUCCUCCAUAAUGAUAAUCAAAUGCUUACAUUAUCAUUAUGGAGGAAAUAUUUCCAUGGCUUAGGUGACUCUUAGAACUUGCAAAAUAGUGUCCAUGGAAAUAUUUCCUCCAUAAUGAUAAUGUAAGCAUUUGAUUAUCUUUUGGACAUGCAAAAUAGGUAGCUUGUGUAUGUCUUUCAUUUCAAUUUUUAAAGUCAUGGACACUAUUUUGCAAGUUACUUGAAUCGAUGAGGUAUUAUUUCUUGUUGGGAAGGGAUGAGUAUAUGCCUAAUAUAAGUUGGAUCAGUGUGAUUUGAUAUUAAAUUCUAAUAAAAAGGGUAUCAUCGGGAUUGGAAGCUUAUUUGAUUUCAACAUGGAUUUAUUUCAAAAUUGGAGAUGAUGAUUUCUAGUUGAUCAAAAUCUCUUAUGUGUCAAAGUGAUAAAAUAUAUCUAUGGUGAUCAAGGGGAGUUGACUAAGUUUUCUCAAAAACUGAGAGGUAAUGGUGUGUGGUUAACUAUGGUUAAAUGGUUUGAUAAGCUGCAUGCUAAAGAUAUUGUUCCAUACCAACCGUUGCGUAAAAAAAUAGGUAAGGAUAACUGGAUCAGAUUUUAGGAAGAUGUGUUUGUUGAAGAUAUUAGGCUUAUGGACAAGUUCCUUAUGUUAUAUGUUUUAAAGAUGGAUAAAAUUGUUGUGUUCCUGAUCAUUGGCCUGAUGGUAGGUGGAGGUGGAAUUAGACAAUGAUGUGAAUUAUGAGCUUUGAUUUGGCAUGUAGAAUCAAACGAACAUAAAGAACACAGUGAUUUGGGUGCUAAAAGAUGUAUUCGAUCAUGGUAAAUGAGUACAAAAGGGUACUAGACUAGAACUUCAUAAAUACCUCACCCACUAGUCACUAUGAAAUAUAUCUCUCAAGCAUACCUCUACAAGUGGUAUGAAACCCACUAUAUAUAGAGGUGUUUACAUCUCUCUCUCUCUUUCUCUCUCUCUCUCUCUAUAUAUAUAUAUAUAUAUAUAUAUAUAUAUAUAUAUAUAUCUUUCUUUAUCUUUCUCUCUUUAUCUCUUUAUUUCUCAUGUCACAAGGCUACUCUACCACAUGCAAGUGGGUCUACAAGAGUCAAACCAUUACAAAGUCAUACAUGCAUAACUUUGCACCCCAACAUUCUCCCCCUAAAAGUUAGGAAUAGAUGACUCGCUUCAAUCUUCCAAAAUCAAGCAACUUCACAAACCAAGCCUCAAGCAUCAUAUAUGUAGAGAUGAACUUCAAAUAUUCAAUUCUUUAAUGAGCUUCCAAUCUGGGUUCUACAAUGUGACACCUUCCAAACCGAGCAUCAAAAGGAAAUUAGUAGUAUUUAAACCUCUACAAAAUUACCCAAUUUUGAGCAUAAAAGCACACCCCAAAAAUCUUUAAUAAGUCCAAACUCAUCAUGAACUAAUCACUUCCGAAUCUCCACUUGAAUCACUUCAUAAACUUCAUUGCUCAAGGUCACUUCAGUCUUCAAUUCCACGUAAUACAAAUAAUUCAACUUUUGAAUUCUCAUAUUUAAUUCUCUCCCCCUUUUUAUAAUUGAAAAAUGAUUAUAAAACCAAAAGGGAAUCAGAAAGCGCUCAAAUUCAGAAUUUUUCUAUCCAAAACUCCCCCUUAACACAUGGCAUAAACGUUUUGCAAAAUCCGAAAAAUCCAAAAAAUCCAAAAAAUCUCAAAUUUUGAAUUCGUUCAUGGACCGUCUUUGAUGAAAUUUCACAAAUUCAGGUAGAAACUGUCAAAUUCGAAAUUAUGCAAUGACCCGGUGCACCCAAAACAGCCUAAGAUGCGAAACUUUACCCUAAUUGCGAAACUUGACAUAAAGUGUAAAUUCGCAUUAACUGCAGGGAUCUGUUUCGAAAAUAUUCCAAUUUCUCAUAAUUUUCAACCCAAUUUCCAAGUUGGGAAAAUUCUGCCGCACAAACUCCAGGGAUUGGAAACGAAAAUUUAGGUUAUAACAUCAUUUUUACUCCCAUUUCGAAGUUGGAUUAUUUUUGCUACUUCAUUGAAAUUCCAGGGGUAUAAUUCGAAAUUAUUUGUGUUAUUCACCAAUUCUCUUGUACCAAUCGACUAUUCGACAUCGAAACGUGAUAAUGACCAAAAUCGAUAUCGAAAUCAAGUUGGGUCUUCGACAUCGAUGCUCGGCAAAGGACCCUCGACAUCUUAUCCGUGUAAGACUCUCGACAUCUUGAAUCUAAUCAAUCCUCCCAUUUCGAACCGUCGAUUUCGAUGUCAUUGAAAGAGCAUCGGCCUCAAUACCUGGUAAUGUGAAGCCAUGUUCGAUGUCCACAACAACAUCGAUACCCAACAAGCCUUCGAAAUUAAACUUGCUACCAUCUAUUCCAAUCCCUUUUGUCCCGAUCGACUUCAAAAUCACAGACUUCGCUUUUAGUUCCUCAACCUCGACAUCAAGUUAUGACCAUCGACAUCAAUCCUUCAACUUUACACAUCGAUGACAUCCAAAACUUUCGAUAUCUAAAUCAAUUAACCAAAGCGAAACUUCUCACAUGUCGAACUCAUUAUCCAAUAACCAAUAGCGAAACUAUAAACCCAGUUAUCUUCAUAUGAUUCAAUUGAAAUCGAGGCCAAGCUAACUCAAAAACAAUCACAUAGCUUCGACAUCAAAAUCACAUGUCGAAAUCAACUCUUCUCAACACCAAGACUCCAUAUUUCGAAAUCAUCAUUGAUCAUAAGAAUUCAAUUUCCAAAUCAUUGUGCAAGAAUCGAACAAAAGCGCAUGAACAGUCAUCGACACCAAGAACUCCAAUCCAAGCAAUUUCGAAAUUAAACACCAAAUCAAACUUGAUUUCGAUAUCCAUAGCCCAAAUACAACUUGUAUUAACCAAUUUCCGCCUUCAUUUCAUUGAAUAAACACAUAAAAAUCGAGUUUGACUUUUUCUAUGUAUGACUUUUCAAAGUCAAAGAUCAACAAACACAAAAUUGAAGAUUUUAACAACAAAUUUCAGAUGAAAAAGUGUUCAAUCAACUGUUCUUCAUCUCCUUCAAGUGUUCUUAAUCAAGUUCAUCAAAAUCAAAGAACCAAUUUGAUGAUUUCUCAACUUCAGCUUGAACAAAAUCGAUUUCAUUAUAUAACAAAUUAUAUGAAAUCCAUUCCCAAUUUCAGAUUAACAAAUAACAACCAUCGAUUAUUAGGAACAAUGAGAUGAAAGCGGAACUCAAGAACAAAACGAUUACACUGAUAUAUCAAAAACCGAUGGUACAAUUGUUUUAAGCAUACGACAAAAACGACGCAAAAAGUAAAUAAUAUGUAUCGAGUGAAUUUAUUGAAUAGAUGGGCUCAAAAAGUGAUAUUAUCGGAUUAAUCAAUUUAUGGGCUCAAAACUAAUGAUAGCAGAUUCGUGAUUUGGGCAAAACAUUUGAACAAGAAUAGUGAUCGAUCAAAACUUUGGGUUAAAUCAAAAGUAAUUGAAUCACAAUUAAUUUAGGCUUAAAACUCGAUUCAAAUGAAUAAUUUGUUGGUUUUUGAGCACUAUAAUAUUCCUAUGGUGUACAUGCAACCAUAAAUGUUUUGGAUCUAUGUUUUCUCUAAUUAUACAUGCAUAUUUUCAUUUUUCCAAAGCAUUGUCCUAAUUAACAUACAUUUGAACAAUUAAAUAAUACAACUAGUUAGAUGAAUUACCCUUUAGAAGGACUUGUAGUUCUUGACCCUUGAAAGCUUGAGCACCUCAAGUGUGAUACCUCUAAUGGUUCACAAACACCAAUAUGCAAAAGGUGGCUUAGGAGAAUAAGUUAUUUAGCUCAAAUGAAGGUGUAACCGAUUUUGGUUCAUGAGGGUUCUAUUUGUAGUGUUACACAUGCUAAGGUUACACUUUGUAAACCUUAAUGACCUAUGACUUUCCACAUUCUCAUGCUCUAUGGAUUUAACCUCCAUGGACUAUCCAUGGAUUAACUCAUUGGAUUAGCUCAUCUAUAUAAUCAUGGUUCAUUGACCCACACUACAAGAUUCAUUGAUUUACAUAAUCAAUCCUCAUAUAUUUAAUUAGUCUCUUUUGACCACAAAAUUAAUUCCAAAUUAAUUCUUGACCAAUACUAAUUAAAUAAUUUCAUAUUAAUAUAUUAUACUUGUAAUAUAUUAAUAAAUCAUAACUUAUUCUCAAAAUCCAUCCUAUCAAAUUGCACUGGUGAAGGCAACCCAAAAAGGACCUUGCUACAAUCGGGUCAACUACAUCUCAAUUAUAGUUAUGGGCUUAGACACCAAAUCCAACACAAAUGCAAUUUGAGAAUCGAAUAACAAAAAAGAAUAGGAUUGGAUCGGGGCUUGAUCAAUGAAAAAAUUAUUGGAUCAUAACAAAUGGGGUUUUCAAGAAAAAUUUGAUCCAAUGAGUCAAAAUGAUCAAAAAUUCAAGAAGGCAAGCACGAAUCAAAGAGAUUUAGAGAGAUCAUCGAGAUACUCACCAUAAACGUUCCAAUUGUGUUGAAUGUAGCCAAACCGAGAACCAUUCUUCAAAAAAUCCCUUUGAUCUUUAAAGACCCGCUCUGAUAACAAAUAAUGUAAAUUAUGAGCUUUGAUUUGGCAUGCGGAAUUAAACGAACACCAAGAACACGGUGAUUUGGGUGCUAAAAGAUGUAUUCGAUUAUAGUAAAUGAUUACAAAAAGGGUACUUGUAACGCCUGGUGCAUGGUAUAUAUUUAUUUUAAACUUAUUCCAUAUAAUAAAGCAACUCGACGAGUUGGGAGCCCCAAACUCGUCGAGUAGAGAUCAUAAGGAUCGCAUGAUUUAAGUAACCUACUCGACGAGUUGGGAGGCCUCAACUCAACGAGUAGGCUGGUAGGGAUGAAACCCUAAUUUCCAAGGUUUGCACCCUAUUUAAACGUCUUAAACCUUUCAUGUUGGCCUCAUUUCCAACCUCCAAGUCCCAAACCCUAAAUCUAGAAAACCCUAAAGCCAUUUGAGUGUUUGUGAGCUAUUUUUGAGUGUUUUAGUGUGUAUUUGAAGCUACUGGAAGAAGGAAGAGCUUAGAGACACAAGAAGGAGCAUAUAGAUCCAUAAUCCUUGCCUCAUCCAUGACAUUUUGCUGGUAUAAAGCUUAAACCUUUCCUUGUAGUUUCUUAGAUCUCCUUUUUGGGGUUAUUUUGCUACUUUUGGUCAAAAUGACAUGAUUCUUGGGAUUUGGACACCCCAAGUGAGGAAUACUUCAGAUCUAGAAUCUUGAGGUUUUUUCAUGGCAUAAAGGUGCCAACUUUAUGGCCAUGGAAUCCCCAUGCAACCUUUAGACCAUCAUUUUGGUCUAUUGAAGCUUCUAUGGCCAUGCAUGUGGACAAAUUUUAAGACUUUACAUGAUCAUUUUGUCCCUUGAGUCCAGAUCUAUGGCCUCAUGGUCUAUCUUGAAGUUUUGAUGGCUUUUGGAGUUGGACGUAAGCCAUUUUGAGUUAGGGUUUGAGUUUUAUGUGUUGGGAGAGGACCUUAAUAGGUAAAGUUGGAAACUUUACCCUUCUAGGUGUAUUUCCAGUUUGUAUCCGGAGUUUUGGGUGUAGAUUUGAUGAAUAAGGGCUUAAUGCAUUAAGAAGGGUUGACAGACGGAUGAACUCGACGAGUCCAUAAGGGAACUCGGCGAGUUGGUUUGGAAUGUUCCCGAUUCUGUUGAAUGAACUCGACGAGUCCACAAGGGAACUCAAUGAGUUGUUCUGGGAAAGUCCCAUUUCUGUUGAGAAUGAAAAACUUGGGGAGUUGGAGGAAAACUGGACGAGUUGGAUCGCAAUUUCAGGAUUCGGUGAUUCAUGGGAACUCGGCGAGUUGAAGGGUAAACUCGUCGAGUUGAGUCAACUCGGAGCGUUGACUUUCACUUGACUUUGACUUUAACUUAACCAGAGUUGAUCCUUAAGAGUUAUGGGUAUGGAAUGGUAUCUAAGGGGUUUUUUUGGUUUAGGGAGUGGGUAGAGCUGAUUCCGGGCAGAGAUGUUUCAACUAUCAUCCAACAUUUUAGGUGAGUUUCCUCUUGGUUUGAACAGGUCGAAGGCACCAAUGCCGGCCCGUGUAUGUUAUGUGUGCUGAUUAGUAGCUAAGUGUGGGUCGGGCCUGUAUCUUAGCAUUAUUUGAGUAUGGAUAUGGAAUUUACUGAUAGAUGUGGUUAUAGUUGUUGUAUGUGUGAUACUUGUAUGUGUUUCGUAGUUAGUCGAGUGUGGGCGAGGCCCGUAUCUUCUAGUUAACGGAGUGUGGGUGAGGCUCGUAUCUCCUAGUUAGCUGAGUGUGGGUGAGGCCCGUAUCUCCUAGUUAGCCGAGUGUGGACGGGUAUCUCUUAGAGUAGCUGAGUGUGGGCCAGGCCCGUAUCUCACUAAGUGUGGGCAGGGCUCGUAUUUCAAAGGGUGUGGCUCGUUAGCCAAGUGUGGGCGAGGCCCAUAUCUCCUUGAGGGUGGGAGGGGCCCGUAUCUCCUAGUUGCAUGUUAUGUGUAUGGUAUGUGGUAGUCUGGGGGAAAUUCACUAAGCUUCGUGCUUGCAGUUUCAGUGUUGGUUUCAGGUACUUCCGGUAGCAAAGGGAAAAACUCGAGAUGACUGCAUUGCACACACCACGAUGUUUAGCUUGGGAUGUUCACUCUGAUGUUUUGAUAUGAUAAUCUGAUUUGAUACUAUGAAUUAUGUUUUUGGAUGGAAUGAUUUUAAUAACUAUGGUUUAUUUAAUAAUUAAAAAUGAAUUUUUGGUCAUGAUUUUUGGGAUGUUACAAGUUGGUAUCAGAGCCUUGGUUUGAUGGAUUCGGGAACACUCUCGGGUGUGUCUGGACUCAGACUGAGGACUUGGUAUGAAAAUUUUCAAAAGAAAAUCAUUUUUACAGAAAGGAUUUCCAAAAGAGAAAAAGGGUGUGCUGCAUGCAGUCAGUCGAGCUUAAGUAAGUUCUCCCAAAUUACCCAUACAUGUUUUUUAUGAUAUGAUAAGAUUAUCAGAACUGUAUGCUAGAUUAGGGAUAAGGAUCUAGGAAGGAUGCCUUGUAUGCCUACUGUAUGAGCAUAUUGAACUGCAUGCUAGUACUGAUUAGUCAGUGAUAUAAUGGCAUGAUUAGGAUAUGCUUGGUUUUGUUUACUCAAUGCUUGAAUGCUGCUUGCUUUGUGCUUUUAGGCGUUUUAGUUAUCUUUAUCUAAUUAGUAAACGAGUAUGUUAAGUUAUAUAUUAUGAGGACUAAAUAAUUUCAGAAGGUUAGGUUUAGCCUUAUUUUGCAACUCUCAUUUGAGUCUAAUCGUUGUAGGGAGAGACCUCUCAUUCGAAGAAUUAUCUGGUCUUAUUAAUAUGUAAUGGUAUUCGCGAGCUAGUUAGGGAAUGUAGCGGGGACUUCUUAUGCAGUUAAUGGCUGAGAGUGGUGAUGGGUUUUGGUCAUAAGAACAUCCUAUGUGCUCAUACAAACCCUAAUGCUUGGAUCUAGGUUUCUCUAUUGUACAUGCAAGUUAUCCAAGACUAUAAACCCUAAUUCUAGCAUACAAGUAAUCAUAUUAACAUAAGAAUGGGUUUAAGAUAUUACCUUGAUUGUUAUGUAGCAAUAACAAUCCCAAAUCCUUCUUCUAUUGACUUUAGAAAGCUUAGAGUCACAAAUGUCACUCCUCUAAUGGUUCACAAACACCAAGAGCAAGAGGAUGAAGAGGAGAGAGGAAGGAGGCUGCCCUAAAACGUGUGAAACCCUAGAAGGAUGCUUAGCCACGUUUUUAGGUCAUAAGGGAUCUAUAUAUAUAGGAGGCUAUUAGGGUUAUCUAACAAGGAAACCCUAAUGUGCAACCGAUUCUCAAGAUACAACUCACACAUCUCGGUUUCAAGAAUAUAAGAUGUUAUCGGCUCACCAAUCACUCGUGAUACAAUCCAUGGAGUGAUCCAAGUGAGCGUGGGUUUAAUCCAAUUCUCAAAUCAUAUUCAUAAGCACUCACAAACAUUGCAGCAAACCUUUGCUAUGUCUAAUAUGCUCUAGACAAUCUACAAACCAAUUCAUGACAGUCUUCAUUCAUACUUACUUCCAACGUAUGACUAACUGUGGUCCGUUUGAAUAAUUCGAUUAUUCUUAAUAAACUCAAUUAUUCUGGAAGUCAAAACUUGCAAAGUGAAACACAAGAAUAAUACUAAUCCCAUAUGGACUCAACCCUUUGAGUAUAAAUAAAAC